Molecule: ribosomal RNA, 738 nt
Filed under: uncultured bacterium
Lineage: Bacteria
Description: bacterial SSU rRNA
Rfam family: Bacterial small subunit ribosomal RNA
Source: RNAcentral
CUCAGGAUGAACGCUAGCGGCAGGCCUAAUACAUGCAAGUCAAACGGAGUUGGGUAGCAAUACCUAGCUUAGUGGCGCACGGGUGCGUAACGCGUAUGCAACCUACCUUUUACUGGGGGAUAGCCCGUCGAAAGACGGAUUAAUACCGCAUGAUACUAUUUGAGGGCAUCUGAGGAUAGUUAAAGAUUUAUUGGUAAAAGAUGGGCAUGCGUGCCAUUAGCUAGUUGGUUGAGGUAACGGCUCACCAAGGCUACGAUGGCUAGGGGUUCUGAGAGGAUGAUCCCCCACACUGGUACUGAGAUACGGACCAGACUCCUACGGGAGGCAGCAGUAGGGAAUAUUGGGCAAUGGCGGAAACGCUGACCCAGCCAUGCCGCGUGCAGGAUGAAGGCCUUCUGGGUUGUAAACUGCUUUUAUCUAGGAAGAAAACACCCUUGCGAGGGGAACUGACGGUACUAGGUGAAUAAGCACCGGCUAACUCCGUGCCAGCAGCCGCGGUAAUACGGAGGGUGCAAGCGUUGUCCGGAUUUAUUGGGUUUAAAGGGUGCGUAGGCGGCCCUGUAAGUCCGUGGUGAAAGCCAACAGCUCAACUGUUGAACUGCCAUGGAUACUGCAGGGCUUGAGUACAGACGAGGUAGGCGGAAUGGAUAGUGUAGCGGUGAAAUGCAUAGAUACUAUCCAGAACACCGAUUGCGUAGCAGCUUACUAGGCUGUAACUGACGCUGAGGCACGAAAGCG